RNAcentral lists this ribosomal RNA (677 nucleotides) under Stenotrophomonas sp. DF9SD. RNAcentral's name for it is "bacterial SSU rRNA". It matches the Rfam family "Bacterial small subunit ribosomal RNA", at positions 74 to 741 of the family's 1533-position model. Lineage: Bacteria; Pseudomonadati; Pseudomonadota; Gammaproteobacteria; Lysobacterales; Lysobacteraceae. The record is from RNAcentral.
AAGAGCUUGCUCUUAUGGGUGGCGAGUGGCGGACGGGUGAGGAAUACAUCGGAAUCUACCUUUUCGUGGGGGAUAACGUAGGGAAACUUACGCUAAUACCGCAUACGACCUUCGGGUGAAAGCAGGGGACCUUCGGGCCUUGCGCGGAUAGAUGAGCCGAUGUCGGAUUAGCUAGUUGGCGGGGUAAAGGCCCACCAAGGCGACGAUCCGUAGCUGGUCUGAGAGGAUGAUCAGCCACACUGGAACUGAGACACGGUCCAGACUCCUACGGGAGGCAGCAGUGGGGAAUAUUGGACAAUGGGCGCAAGCCUGAUCCAGCCAUACCGCGUGGGUGAAGAAGGCCUUCGGGUUGUAAAGCCCUUUUGUUGGGAAAGAAAAGCAGUCGAUUAAUACUCGGUUGUUCUGACGGUACCCAAAGAAUAAGCACCGGCUAACUUCGUGCCAGCAGCCGCGGUAAUACGAAGGGUGCAAGCGUUACUCGGAAUUACUGGGCGUAAAGCGUGCGUAGGUGGUUGUUUAAGUCUGUUGUGAAAGCCCUGGGCUCAACCUGGGAAUUGCAGUGGAUACUGGGCGACUAGAGUGUGGUAGAGGGUAGUGGAAUUCCCGGUGUAGCAGUGAAAUGCGUAGAGAUCGGGGAGGAACAUCCAUGGCGAAGGCAGCUACCUUGGAUCAACACU